This 83-nucleotide transfer RNA is filed under the name Ameiurus melas (black bullhead). It matches the Rfam family "tRNA". From Rfam's summary of the family: Transfer RNA (tRNA) molecules are approximately 80 nucleotides in length. Their secondary structure includes four short double-helical elements and three loops (D, anti-codon, and T loops). Further hydrogen bonds mediate the characteristic L-shaped molecular structure. tRNAs have two regions of fundamental functional importance: the anti-codon, which is responsible for specific mRNA codon recognition, and the 3' end, to which the tRNAs corresponding amino acid is attached (by aminoacyl-tRNA synthetases). tRNAs cope with the degeneracy of the genetic code in two manners: having more than one tRNA (with a specific anti-codon) for a particular amino acid; and 'wobble' base-pairing, i.e. permitting non-standard base-pairing at the 3rd anti-codon position. Lineage: Eukaryota; Metazoa; Chordata; Actinopteri; Siluriformes; Ictaluridae. The record is from Rfam by way of RNAcentral.
GUCAGGAUGGUCGAGUGGUCUAAGGCGCUGUGUUAAGGUUUCAGUCUCUUCUGGAUUUGUGGGUUCAAAUCCCACUUCUGACA